This 412-nucleotide ribosomal RNA is filed under the name Anaplasma platys. RNAcentral's name for it is "bacterial SSU rRNA". It matches the Rfam family "Bacterial small subunit ribosomal RNA", at positions 63 to 503 of the family's 1533-position model. Lineage: Bacteria; Pseudomonadati; Pseudomonadota; Alphaproteobacteria; Rickettsiales; Anaplasmataceae. The record is from RNAcentral.
CGAACGGAUUGUUAUCAUAGCUUGCUAUGAUAACAAUUAGUGGCAGACGGGUGAGUAAUGCAUAGGAAUCUACCUAGUAGUAUGGGAUAGCCACUAGAAAUGGUGGGUAAUACUGUAUAAUCCCUGCGGGGGAAAGAUUUAUCGCUAUUAGAUGAGCCUAUGUUAGAUUAGCUAGUUGGUGGGGUAAAGGCCUACCAAGGCAGUGAUCUAUAGCUGGUCUGAGAGGAUGAUCAGCCACACUGGAACUGAGAUACGGUCCAGACUCCUACGGGAGGCAGCAGUGGGGAAUAUUGGACAAUGGGCGCAAGCCUGAUCCAGCUAUGCCGCGUGAGUGAGGAAGGCCUUAGGGUUGUAAAACUCUUUCAGUGGGGAAGAUAAUGACGGUACCCACAGAAAAAGUCCCGGCAAACUC